AAAAACUCAGUGUGUACAACCCUGAAUGAGUAUAAAGCAGUCGUUAGUCAUUUUGGGCCAGAGCCCAAUUCAAUAACGGUGGUCUCUGGGCCUUAGCCCAAACUAGCCUCAGUUGGGCCGAAGCCCACAUCGCAAUAAUAUCACAACAAUAUCAUACAUGCAAUGCAAUGCAGUGAAUCCCAUCCCAAUAAUCCAUCUGCUACAC
Molecule: long non-coding RNA, 205 nt
Filed under: Gossypium barbadense (sea-island cotton)
Lineage: Eukaryota; Viridiplantae; Streptophyta; Magnoliopsida; Malvales; Malvaceae
Description: long non-coding RNA (GBAR_LNC011482)
Source: RNAcentral